GGUCCUGUGGUCAAGUGUUUAGAGUGUCUGCCUCGGAUGCGGGAGGUCGUGGGUUCGAAUCCCAGCCGAGCCA
Non-coding RNA from Potamilus streckersoni, 73 nucleotides. The record is from the annotation of a GenBank genome assembly. Lineage: Eukaryota; Metazoa; Mollusca; Bivalvia; Unionida; Unionidae.